GAUUAACUUAAAAAUCGCAAGUAUUCAUACUUAGCGAUAUCGAUGAGAUGGUAGAUAAGACGUUCCUCUGCCACACGUGUACUGGCUUCAUGCUGUAUGAGUUCCAUAGAUUUACGAACAAUU
This 123-nucleotide small nucleolar RNA is filed under the name Caenorhabditis brenneri. RNAcentral describes it as "snoRNA CBN33876". It matches the Rfam family "Caenorhabditis snoRNA ceN92". Lineage: Eukaryota; Metazoa; Nematoda; Chromadorea; Rhabditida; Rhabditidae. The record is from Rfam by way of RNAcentral.